AGAGUUUGAUCAUGGCUCAGAUUGAACGCUGGCGGAAAUGCUUUACACAUGCAAGUCGAACGGCAGCACGGGGCAACCUGGUGGCGAGUGGCGAACGGGUGAGUAAUACAUCGGAACGUGCCCAAUCGUGGGGGAUAACGUAGCGAAAGUUACGCUAAUACCGCAUACGAUCUACGGAUGAAAGCGGGGGAUCGCAAGACCUCGCGCGAAUGGAGCGGCCGAUGUCAGAUUAGGUAGUUGGUGGGGUAAAGGCUCACCAAGCCAACGAUCUGUAGCUGGUCUGAGAGGACGACCAGCCACACUGGAACUGAGACACGGUCCAGACUCCUACGGGAGGCAGCAGUGGGGAAUUUUGGACAAUGGGCGCAAGCCUGAUCCAGCCAUUCCGCGUGCAGGAUGAAGGCCUUCGGGUUGUAAACUGCUUUGUACGGAACGAAACGGCGAGCUCUAAUACAGUUUGCUAAUGACGGUACCGUAAGAAUAAGCACCGGCUAACUACGUG
RNAcentral lists this ribosomal RNA (502 nucleotides) under uncultured bacterium. RNAcentral's name for it is "bacterial SSU rRNA". It matches the Rfam family "Bacterial small subunit ribosomal RNA", at positions 8 to 507 of the family's 1533-position model. The record is from RNAcentral.